UCUUUGGUGGUCCAGUGGUUAAGACACUGCACUUCCACUGCAGGGAGCACAGGUUCAGUCUCUGGUUGGGGAA
RNAcentral lists this transfer RNA (73 nucleotides) under Bos taurus (domestic cattle). It matches the Rfam family "tRNA". From Rfam's summary of the family: Transfer RNA (tRNA) molecules are approximately 80 nucleotides in length. Their secondary structure includes four short double-helical elements and three loops (D, anti-codon, and T loops). The record is from Rfam by way of RNAcentral. RNAcentral also lists the same sequence under 4 other names. Lineage: Eukaryota; Metazoa; Chordata; Mammalia; Artiodactyla; Bovidae.